RNAcentral lists this ribosomal RNA (459 nucleotides) under uncultured bacterium. RNAcentral's name for it is "partial 16S ribosomal RNA". It matches the Rfam family "Bacterial small subunit ribosomal RNA", at positions 338 to 795 of the family's 1533-position model. The record is from RNAcentral.
CCUACGGGUGGCAGCAGUGAGGAAUAUUGGUCAAUGGCCGAGCGGCUGAACCAGCCAAGUCGCGUGAGGGAAGACGGCCCUACGGGUUGUAAACCUCUUUUGUCGGGGAGCAAAGCGAGUCACGUGUGACUCAUUGAGAGUACCCGAAGAAACAGCAUCGGCUAACUCCGUUCCAGCAGCCGCGGUACUACGGAGGAGGCGAGCGUUAUCCGGAUUUAUUGGGUUUAAAGGGUGCGUAGGCUGGCUGUUAAGUCAGCGGUAAAAGCCCGGGGCUCAACCCCGGCGAGCCGGUGAAACUGGCUGUCUUGAGAUGUCGAGAGGUAUGCGGAAUGCGCAGUGUAGCGGUGAAAUGCUUAGAUAUUGCGCAGAACUCCGAUUGCGAAGGCAGCAUACCGGCGGCGAUCUGACGCUGAGGCACGAAAGCGUGGGUAUCGAACAGGAUUAGAUACCCUUGUAGUC